AUGCUCUUGAAUUCCACGUACUGACUUGCUCCAGACUUUAUCAAAAAAUCGAUGGACCUAUCCGCACAAAAUAAAACCCUAGGUCCCGAUAAAUCGAGAUAGAACUUAUUAGAGUUUUCUUCCAAAAGUUGAUUGGAAAAUGAGGAAAUCUCGACGUCUGAAUAGAGAGGCCGGGUGGUAAGAUUUUCGACGGAGAAAUCGUCGCUGCUGGUUACGGUGUUCGAGGAGGACGGCGGCGGUAGAGAAGUAGAAUUGGCAUUGAGGAAAGAGGUGAGUUGUGGGAUAGUGAGAGAGGCGAAGUGGGAUCCAUAGAAGUUGUUUUGGUCGAUGUGAAGUACGGAUUUUCCGGAAGCUGAGGCUGCGGCGGCGAUCACGGACUCUGGUAGGCCGGUUCCGACGACAAUAAGGUCGAAGGUCGUUGGAUCAAUUGGCGGAUACAAUGGAGGUUCAUUCAUGGCGGCACAAGAGAGGGAGUCGUUGGGUGAUAGUCGCCAACAGCCACGGCUCGCAAGAACAAGAAGAACCGUUGCUGUUGAUUGCU
RNAcentral lists this unclassified non-coding RNA (541 nucleotides) under Hevea brasiliensis (rubber tree). Lineage: Eukaryota; Viridiplantae; Streptophyta; Magnoliopsida; Malpighiales; Euphorbiaceae. The record is from RNAcentral.